This is a long non-coding RNA of Labeo rohita (rohu), 629 nucleotides long. RefSeq lists it as uncharacterized. NCBI's taxonomy places the organism in Eukaryota, Metazoa, Chordata, Actinopteri, Cypriniformes, Cyprinidae. The record is from RefSeq and is a predicted model, not a curated record. The transcript is spliced from 3 exons.
AACACUUCAUGUAACUGUUUGUCCAUAUGUGCUCUCAUCAUCAAUGAACUAAAAUGCAUUUUAUUAAAAUACAUGAGCGAUUGUAUGUGAACGUCACAAUAGCGCUUUUGCGCAUGCGCCAAAAUUCAAACACACCCGCGCUAACGGCAGAGUCUGAGCAAUGGCUGCGGCUAAACAAACAGUCAUCUGCAGUAAGAUGUUUUUCUUAGUGGAAGGAUAACAAAUGUGCCAGUACCUUCACAUAAUAAACGACAAUGAUUUUAUAGACGGGCACGAAGACAGACCGACAUCACUGAGUGGAGUGGAUGAAACGCCUUUGAAUGUGGCAGCGGUGCAGGUAAUGAGUCCCGACAUUCUCAGAAAAUAGAAAUGGAGGCCGAACCUGCAGAUGUGGAUGGCAGUGAUGUGAAUGAUGGAGCAUCUACACAGAAAAGAUGCUGGAAUCCAGAAAUUUCUUCACCUGGGGCCUACUGGGGAUGGCAAUAAACAAAAAACUAACCAAGCUGUGGGAAUACAAACCUGUAGACCUUUAGCUGAACCACUACAAUUGAUGUUCUGUUUCUUAUGCCUGUUCAGUGUUUUGAUCAGUUAUAUAUGUAAUUGUUUCUUUUUUUGUCCUGUUUGAUUGU